AACCUCCGCAAUGUGAGAAAUCGCGACGGGGGGAUCCCAAGUGCCAUUCUUAACGGGAUGGCUUUUCUUAAGUGUAAAAAGCUUUUGGAAUAAGAGCUGGGCAAGACCGGUGCCAGCCGCCGCGGUAACACCGGCAGCUCUAGUGGUAGCUGUUUUUAUUGGGCCUAAAGCGUUCGUAGCCGGUUUGAUAAGUCACUGGUGAAAUCCUGUAGCUUAACUGUGGGAAUUGCUGGUGAUACUGUUGAACUUGAGGUCGGGAGAGGUUAGCGGUACUCCCAGGGUAGAGGUGAAAUUCUGUAAUCCUGGGAGGACCACCUGUGGCGAAGGCGGCUAACUGGAACGAACCUGACGGUGAGGGACGAAAGCUAGGGGCGCGAACCGGAUUAGAUACCCGGGUAGUCCUAGCCGUAAACGAUGCGGACUUGGUGUUGGGAUGGCUUUGAGCCGCUCCGGUGCCGAAGGGAAGCUGUUAAGUCCGCCGCCUGGGAAGUACGGUCGCAAGACUGGAACUUAAAGGAAUU
RNAcentral lists this ribosomal RNA (521 nucleotides) under uncultured bacterium. RNAcentral describes it as "bacterial SSU rRNA". It matches the Rfam family "Archaeal small subunit ribosomal RNA", at positions 345 to 866 of the family's 1478-position model. The record is from RNAcentral.